GACGAACGCUGGCGGCGUGCCUAAUACAUGCCAGUAGAACGCUGAAGGAGGAGCUUGCUUCUCUGGAUGAGUUGCGAACGGGUGAGUAACGCGUAGGUAACCUGCCUGGUAGCGGGGGAUAACUAUUGGAAACGAUAGCUAAUACCGCAUAAGAGUAGAUGUUGCAUGACAUUUGCUUAAAAGGUGCAAUUGCAUCACUACCAGAUGGACCUGCGUUGUAUUAGCUAGUUGGUGGGGUAACGGCUCACCAAGGCGACGAUACAUAGCCGACCUGAGAGGGUGAUCGGCCACACUGGGACUGAGACACGGCCCAGACUCCUACGGGGGGCAGCAGUAGGGAAUCUUCGGCAAUGGACGGAAGUCUGACCGAGCAACGCCGCGUGAGUGAAGAAGGUUUUCGGAUCGGAAAGCUCUGUUGUAAGAGAAGAACGAGUGUGAGAGUGGAAAGUUCACACUGUGACGGUAUCUUACCAGAAAGGGACGGCUAACUACGUG
Molecule: ribosomal RNA, 495 nt
Filed under: uncultured bacterium
Lineage: Bacteria
Description: partial 16S ribosomal RNA
Rfam family: Bacterial small subunit ribosomal RNA
Source: RNAcentral